RNAcentral lists this ribosomal RNA (496 nucleotides) under uncultured bacterium. RNAcentral describes it as "partial 16S ribosomal RNA". It matches the Rfam family "Bacterial small subunit ribosomal RNA", at positions 29 to 507 of the family's 1533-position model. The record is from RNAcentral.
AUGAACGCUGGCGGCGUGCCUAAUACAUGAAAGUCGAGCGAACGGACGAGAAGCUUGCUUCUCUGAUGUUAGCGGCGGACGGGUGAGUAACACGUGGAUAACCUACCUAUAAGACUGGGAUAACUUCGGGAAACCGGAGCUAAUACCGGAUAAUAUUUUGAACCGCAUGGUUCAAAAGUGAAAGACGGUCUUGCUGUCACUUAUAGAUGGAUCCGCGCUGCAUUAGCUAGUUGGUAAGGUAACGGCUUACCAAGGCAACGAUGCAUAGCCGACCUGAGAGGGUGAUCGGCCACACUGGAACUGAGACACGGUCCAGACUCCUACGGGAGGCAGCAGUAGGGAAUCUUCCGCAAUGGGCGAAAGCCUGACGGAGCAACGCCGCGUGAGUGAUGAAGGUCUUCGGAUCGUAAAACUCUGUUAUUAGGGAAGAACAUAUGUGUAAGUAACUGUGCACAUCUUGACGGUACCUAAUCAGAAAGCCACGGCUAACUACGUG